GUCCUCGUAGCGCAGUGGUUAGCAUCUGAUUUUCUUAACGUUUGAUUUUCUCCAGCGAAUACCUAAGACAGCGGAAGACGUCGGUUCGAACCCGACCGAGGACA
Podospora fimiseda is the source of this 104-nucleotide non-coding RNA. The record is from the annotation of a GenBank genome assembly. NCBI's taxonomy places the organism in Eukaryota, Fungi, Ascomycota, Sordariomycetes, Sordariales, Podosporaceae.